Molecule: small nucleolar RNA, 137 nt
Organism: Cavia porcellus (domestic guinea pig)
Lineage: Eukaryota; Metazoa; Chordata; Mammalia; Rodentia; Caviidae
Source: Ensembl
CUGGCCCUAAAUCAAAGCCAGCAGCUUCCUGAUGCUGUUGGUUUCAAGCAGGAGCCUAAAGAGAUGUCUUUCUAUGGUCUGUUGGCCAUUUCAGAACUUGGGCAGUGAAAGGGCCAUUUAAUUAGAAAGAAACAGCU